This 393-nucleotide long non-coding RNA is filed under the name Pandoravirus neocaledonia. RNAcentral describes it as "hypothetical ncRNA". The record is from RNAcentral.
CUCCUGGUUACUAAGAUAAACCAUGUUAGAGAAAGAAGCAACGUUCGAAGGAGGGCACACCGUACGCAACUAUCGAGUAUUGUUUAGACAUCAGCCGUGCGAAAUGGUACUCGCCGUCUAGUUGCACUAUAAUUUUAUUUUUUGUUUCGAACAACCAAUAGGAGGCCCCGUGUGGUUAUUCAGUGGGUCACGGGUUCGAACCCCACCGAUAGCGUCCACGAGCCGGCUCGAGCCGGUUAGUCCGACCCUUAGCCGGGACCGAGCCGGCUAGCCGUUGCCCAGCGUUAGAUCCAACCCAAUGCCCCUAUCUCCUCUUCUUUUUUCUUUUGGUAGACAGGGCCGGUUCAGUGAUAAAAAGACCGGGGCUCUUUUUUCCCAUCGCGAAAGCCCGUG